AGAGUUUGAUUAUGGCUCAGGAUAAACGCUGGCGGCAUGCCUAACACAUGCAAGUCGAACGGGGUUUAUAUAACAGAACUCUUCGGAGGGAAGUUAUAUAAACCUAGUGGCGGACGGGUGAGUAACGCGUGGGGAACCUGCCCUGUACCGGGGGACAACAGCCAGAAAUGGCUGCUAAUACCGCAUAAUCCUGCGCUGCCGCAUGGCAGCGCAGGGAAAACUCCGGUGGUACAGGAUGGUCCCGCGUCUGAUUAGCUUGUUGGCGGGGUAACGGCCCACCAAGGCAACGAUCAGUAGCCGGCUUGAGAGAGCGGACGGCCACAUUGGGACUGAGACACGGCCCAGACUCCUGCGGGAGGCAGCAGUGGGGAAUAUUGCACAAUGGGGGGAACCCUGAUGCAGCAAUGCCGCGUGGGUGAAUAAGUACCCCGGUAUGUAAAGCCCUGUCAGC
This 451-nucleotide ribosomal RNA is filed under the name uncultured bacterium. Its description in RNAcentral is "bacterial SSU rRNA". It matches the Rfam family "Bacterial small subunit ribosomal RNA", at positions 8 to 440 of the family's 1533-position model. The record is from RNAcentral.